This 1416-nucleotide ribosomal RNA is filed under the name human gut metagenome. Its description in RNAcentral is "bacterial LSU rRNA". It matches the Rfam family "Bacterial large subunit ribosomal RNA", at positions 1154 to 2505 of the family's 2925-position model. The record is from RNAcentral.
UGGUCAUGCGCCGAAGAUGUACCGGGGCUCAAACGCGCCACCGAAGCAUGGGAUUGCCUGUUGUGAACACUGCUUUUAGGCUCGCCGAAGGCGACAGAUGUACGCCAGGGGAGCGAGGACACGCUGAAGGCAGUGCUCACAACAGGCAGUGGUAGAGGAGCAUUGAAUCAGGGCAGAAGCUGGAGCGGGAGCACCAGUGGACUUGAUUCAAGAGAGAAUGCCGGUAUGAGUAGCGAGAGGCAAGCGAGAAACUUGCCCGUCGAAAGCCUAAGGUUUCCUGGGGAAGGUUCAUCCGCCCAGGGUAAGUCGGGACCUAAGCCGAGGACGGAAGUCGUAGGCGAUGGACAGCAGGUUGAGAUUCCUGCACCGCCUUGAGAAUGAUGCAAUGACACAGAAGGAUAGCAUGAGCCGGGUGAUGGUCAACUCGGUUUCCAGAGCGAGGGCGCUUGGUAGUGAAGUACGCCAAGCACAUAGCCUGAGCUGAAGAGGGAGCGAAAUUGAAGUAGCGAAGCAUGCGAUUUCACGCUGGCGAGAAAAGUUGCUGGUAUAUCGAAGAGGCGCCCGUACCGCAAACCGACGCAGGUAGGCGAGGUGAGAAUCCUAAGACGAACGGGAGAACCCUUGUUAAGGAACUCGGCAAAAUGACCCCGUAACUUCGGGAGAAGGGGUGCCGAUGGAAACAUCGGUCGCAGAGAAAAGGCUCAAGCGACUGUUUAGCAAAAACACAGGUAUCUGCGAAAGCGAGAGCUGACGUAUAGGUGCUGACACCUGCCCGGUGCUGGAAGGUUAAGGGGAAAUGUCAUCGCAAGAGAAGCAUAGAACCGAAGCCCCAGUAAACGGCGGCCGUAACUAUAACGGUCCUAAGGUAGCGAAAUUCCUUGUCGGGUAAGUUCCGACCCGCACGAAUGGUGUAACGAUUUGAGCGCUGUCUCAACAGGGGGCCCGGUGAAAUUGAAGUAUGGGUGAAGAUGCCCAUUACCCGCGACUGGACGGAAAGACCCCGUAGAGCUUGACUGUAGCCUGAUAUUGGAUUUCGGUAACGGAUGCACAGGAUAGGUGGGAGGCAAGGAAGCGAGGACUCCGGUUCUCGUGGAGCCGCCGUUGGGAUACCACUCUUCUGUUGCUGGAAUUCUAACAUGGCGCCGUGAAACCGGUGAAUGGACAGUGUCAGGUGGGCAGUUUGACUGGGGCGGUCGCCUCCGAAAGAGUAACGGAGGCGCCCAAAGGUACCCUCAGAAUGGAUGGAAACCAUUCAAAGAGUGUAAAGGCAGAAGGGUGCUUGACUGUGAGAGUGACAACUCGAUCAGAUACGAAAGUAGGGCUUAGUGAUCCGGCGGUAUUGAGUGGAAAAGCCGUCGCUUAACGGAUAAAAGCUACCUCGGGGAUAACAGGCUGAUCUCCCCCAAGAGUCCACAU